Molecule: unclassified non-coding RNA, 194 nt
Filed under: uncultured fungus
Lineage: Eukaryota; Fungi
Description: sequence contains ITS1
Source: RNAcentral
UUAACUAUUAUAUAGUACUCAGACGACACUAACUCUCAGAGUUGGGGGGUCCUCUGGCAGGCGCUUACCAGCAGAGCCGGUAGACUAAUAGUUCGGCCUGCCAAAGCAACAGAGGUAUAUAGACAAAGGAUGGGAGAUCUACCCUAAAGGGCAUGAACUCUGUAAUGAUCCCUCCGCAGGUUCACCUACGGAGA